UACGAAGGGGGCUAGCGUUGCUCGGUAUCACUGGGCGUAAAGGGUGCGUAGGCGGGUUUUUAAGUCAGGGGGGAAAUCCUGGAGCUCAACUCCAGAACUGCCUUUGAUACUGAAGAUCUUGAGUCCGGGAGAGGUGAGUGGAACUGCGAGUGUAGAGGUGAAAUUCGUAGAUAUUAGGAAGAACACCAGUGGCGAAGGCGGCUCACUGGCCCGGUACUGACGCUGAGGCGCGAAAGCGUGGGGAGCAAACAGG
Molecule: ribosomal RNA, 253 nt
Filed under: uncultured bacterium
Lineage: Bacteria
Description: partial 16S ribosomal RNA
Rfam family: Bacterial small subunit ribosomal RNA
Source: RNAcentral